ACAUUUUUCUCACGAACUUUCUUCGACGAARACUGUUAGACAGUACAGGGAAAUGGCCUUCAAAGAGUUCUUCAUUGGAUUGUURGUCAUAGCAGUGAUUUGGCAGACAGCCAACGGGGGAAAAUUGCACAAACGAUGCGUCGAUAAGGGUUGUAAAGUUGAYGGGCAAAUUUAUAAACCUGGUGAAAUUUUCAUCACUGCUGAUUGCACUGGUCGAUGCCAUUGCCAAAAAGAUGGAGUUUACUAYUGCGUUGACCUCUGUCCUCCCCUUGUCCCUCCUACGUGCAACUCUGAUGAAGUUUUGAAGCAUCGUAAAGUUCCAGUAGGUGACGGUAGAUGCUUUUGUUCAGAACCCUACUGUGCAAAGAAAACUCUAUAAARAUCAUCCUAGGACGCUCAGAGAAAAUGAAUCAACCGCUUUUCAAAUGGAUUUUGAUGCAUUUCUUUAAAGUUAUGAAAAUGUUGUUAAUUAUUGUUCAACCUAAUUAGAUUAUCAUUGCAUGUAAUAAACAAAUACAGCUUCGUAUUUAUGUGAGCCUA
Exaiptasia diaphana is the source of this 540-nucleotide long non-coding RNA. RefSeq lists it as uncharacterized. Lineage: Eukaryota; Metazoa; Cnidaria; Anthozoa; Actiniaria; Aiptasiidae. The transcript is spliced from 2 exons. The record is from RefSeq and is a predicted model, not a curated record.